Prionailurus viverrinus (fishing cat) is the source of this 505-nucleotide long non-coding RNA. RefSeq lists it as uncharacterized. NCBI's taxonomy places the organism in Eukaryota, Metazoa, Chordata, Mammalia, Carnivora, Felidae. The transcript has 4 exons. The record is from RefSeq and is a predicted model, not a curated record.
CACAGGAAAAGCUGGAAUCAAUGACAGAAGAAACUAAUUUAGAACUGUCAUUUGAUCUAAAUGAAAAGUCAUGCUUCACAGAAUAAAAUGUUUCCCAGUGUGUGCAACUAGUGGCCAGAUGCUUUGUGUAUCCAACAUCCCAAAGAAGGACCACAGCAAUUCACCAAACAGCCAGAAGAAACAGCAGCAAUAAGCAGUUCUUCCAUCGCUACCUAAAAAGACUAUAUUUAUUCAAGAAACUGCAUGGUUCUGGAAAGCAUACCACCUCAAUAUGCACUGAAGCCUGAUCUUAUGACUGCAGUCAGCCUAGCACUAAAUGCACACAAAAACAGACAAAAUGUGUGAAUCCCCACUAUCCCACACAGCCUUGAUGAUACCAUUCAAGUACUGGCAGCUGUUAGAAGAAAUGUAAGAAGGGAAGAAACAGAAAGAAAAAAAAAGAAAACGGAUUUGACAAGUAAAAAGGAAUCUGCUUGGUUUUCUGCUGUUGCUGCAUUUUGUGGGU